RNAcentral lists this ribosomal RNA (531 nucleotides) under Amusium pleuronectes. RNAcentral's name for it is "partial 16S ribosomal RNA". The record is from RNAcentral. Lineage: Eukaryota; Metazoa; Mollusca; Bivalvia; Pectinida; Pectinidae.
UGUUGUAUUUACUAUCUAUAGAUGGGAAGAUAGUGGCGAAAUACCUUUCGCACUGGUUGAUAGCUGGUUAUUCUGGAAAUAUAUUUAAGUAUAGCCCCUUUUAUUGAUGAAAUUUACCGUUUUAAGUUUUUAAGUGUUUUAUAUUGUUUUGUGAGGGAGACAGUCUCUCCAGGCUAAGCUGGUGAGAUUAUUUAAAAGGAUGGUUGGUGAAUAAUAAAAAAGUUAAGAAGUGGGCUUGAAGAAGCUAUCUUUGUAGAGUGGGUUAAACCACAAAUGAGCUUUAUAAUAAUAAAUAAAAUUUUACUUAUCUUUUUGUUGUACGGAAUUUCUCCACUAAACUGUUUUUGUGGAGGUGAUAAUGUAAAGAUGAGUAGUCGAGAGGUUGUAGUUGUUUUAUUUUCAGGGAGAGAAAUAUAAAAGUUUUUUUCUUAUUGUUAAAAAAAGUUAAAGGAACUCGGCAAAAUUGGGGACCGCCUGUUUAUCAAAAACAUGGCUCCUUGAAUAUCAUGAGGGGUCGUGCCUUCCCGGUGA